This 189-nucleotide small RNA is filed under the name Pseudomonas sp. NFACC15-1. RNAcentral's name for it is "Pseudomonas sRNA P27". It matches the Rfam family "Pseudomonas sRNA P27". RNAcentral also lists the same sequence under 2 other names. Lineage: Bacteria; Pseudomonadati; Pseudomonadota; Gammaproteobacteria; Pseudomonadales; Pseudomonadaceae. The record is from RNAcentral.
GGGUUUAACUCCUGCUUGUUACCGUUUCAUUCGGUCGAAACCGAAUGUCGUUUUGGUGUCUGAUUCGGUAAGGAACCGGGAGCACCAUCUGCGUAGGCUUGUGGUUUAAGACUUGCGUCGCCUACGGUCUUGGACAGCCCCCGCCAGGCAGGGACCCCAAUUUUUCGACUGGCGCGAUCGCUCGCGCCA